Molecule: ribosomal RNA, 492 nt
Filed under: uncultured bacterium
Lineage: Bacteria
Description: bacterial SSU rRNA
Rfam family: Bacterial small subunit ribosomal RNA
Source: RNAcentral
GAUGAACGCUAGCGACAGGCUUAACACAUGCAAGUCGGAGGGGCAGCAAUAAAAGUAGCAAUUACUUUGGUGGCGACCGGCGCACGGGUGAGUAACGCGUAUGCAACCUACCUAUCAGGAGGGGGAUAACCCGGCGAAAGUCGGACUAAUACCGCAUAAAACAGGGGCACCGCAUGGUGAUAUUUGUUAAAGAUUAAUUGCUGAUAGAUGGGCAUGCGUUCCAUUAGGUAGUUGGUGAGGUAACGGCUCACCAAGCCGACGAUGGAUAGGGGAACUGAGAGGUUGGUCCCCCACACUGGUACUGAGACACGGACCAGACUCCUACGGGAGGCAGCAGUGAGGAAUAUUGGUCAAUGGGCGAGAGCCUGAACCAGCCAAGUCGCGUGAAGGAAGAAGGAUCUAUGGUUCGUAAACUUCUUUUGCAGGGGAAUAAAGUGGAGGACGUGUCCUCUUUUGUAUGUACCCUGAGAAUAAGGAUCGGCUAACUCCGUG